This 354-nucleotide ribosomal RNA is filed under the name Thecophora occidensis. RNAcentral's name for it is "partial 12S ribosomal RNA". The record is from RNAcentral. Lineage: Eukaryota; Metazoa; Arthropoda; Insecta; Diptera; Conopidae.
UGAAAAUGUAAAUUUUAUACUAGAGUAGUAGUAGAUAUAGUCUUUAAACUUAAAAAAUUUGGCGGUAUUUUAGUCUAUUCAGAGGAACCUGUUCUAUAAUCGAUAGUCCACGAUGGACCCUACUUAAAUUUGUAAUCAGUAUAUAUACCGUCGUUACCAGAAGAUUUUAAAAGAAAUUUAAUUUUCAAUAAUUUUAAUAAAAAUUUAUAUCAGAUCAAGGUGUAGCUUAUAUUUAAGAAGAAAUGGGUUACAAUUAAUUUAUUAUUGGAUUUAUUUAUGAAAAAAAUAAUGAAAAUGGAUUUGAUAGUAAAAUUUUAAAGAAUAAAAAUUUGAUUUUAGCUCUAAAAUAUGCAC